Long non-coding RNA from Alligator mississippiensis (American alligator), 1753 nucleotides. RefSeq lists it as uncharacterized. The record is from RefSeq and is a predicted model, not a curated record. Lineage: Eukaryota; Metazoa; Chordata; Crocodylia; Alligatoridae. The transcript is spliced from 4 exons.
GAUCAGCAGCCCUGGGAGUAACAUCUCCUGGCAGAGCUCCUGCUUCAGGAACAGCUUGGAGAUCAUUGUCUCAGCUUUCCUGGAACCUGGUCCCAUGUUCUCCAUUGUGUUGAUCCAGACCUUGACCUGAUGCCUCGGUAACCUGUACCCUUGCUUACCUGAAGGUCCAGCUGAACCCUUACAUUGGAGGCCCUGAUUCUGCAGAGACCCAAGAACACCCUACACUGUACAUAGAACUGUCUUGCUGUAAACAGUACCAGUGGCACAGUAAUAUUGAAGUGCCCUAGCUUUCCUGACUAGCUUCUACAUAAGCAAAGAAGGAUUAAGAGCGUUCCUGCCUGCCUAAAGUCAGCCUUUUGGAUGAGAGAGAUGGAUCUCCAGCAUCAACAGAGAAUCGAUAACCUUGUUGACACUUCAACAAGGUGGGAUUACAGGUGACACCCAGGGAGCCUCUAGGGAAGAAAGAGAAAUAAAGAUAAUGAUCUGAUGGACAGAACAGCUUGUAAAGGAGGGCUGCUGGCUAAUGACUGGGAGAGUCAGAAGCAAGGGAACAGCCAGGCUACUUUGGGGUACUCUGGCUGUGCAGACUAGAGAAAGAACAGCUGAGAUAGCUUUGGGGUGCUCGGGGCUUUUGUGGGCUAGGCUGGAGACAAAGGGCUGCCUAACCCUUUGGGUGGGAUCUUUUUACUCUGUGGCCUUUGCCCCAACUAAAUGCCCUCACUGAAGAGAAACUGUCUGCUUUGAUGCUUCGACCUUUGGGGUGGAAUUCUCCCUGUGCACUGCUCCCUAUCAAGAGAUGAAAUUCUUCCCUCAGGAGCUGAAUUGGAAGGAAGCUCUCUAAGACAGGGCUAUAGAGAAGCCAAGGGAGGGUCUGGGAUUGAAAGACCAGUCUCAGAGUCUGAAAAUGCUUCCAGGGAACUGUCACAGAGAACAGACAAGGCUGUAGAGGUUCUAGGUAAGAGCUCUCCCAUGAAACCAUUAAAUGGUGAGCUGACCACCGCUUUAGAAUCUCAUUCAUUUACAAUACUAGAGAGUGGAAUCCAGUGCAUACAGACAUUUCGGGGCUUGGUGUUUUUCCAGAAUAGAGGUUCUCUCUUGUGCACAGUUCCAGCUUGCCUUUAGCACGUGCUAAAAGAGGUUAUAGUAUAAUAUAUUAACUUUGUUUUACAAUGGCUAAUAAUAGCAACCAACGACAAGACCUAUCAGACUACUGCAGAAGCAAAGCUCCAAGUCAGAUGAGUGCAAGAUGUGAGAUCUUGAUAGUAUAUAUAGCAUCUAUUAUUUACUUUCUUAUCUCUAUAAAAUGUUUGUAAAACAAAAGAUAUGUUUUGUUUGGACUUAAGCAAAUUUUUGUUCCCUAUCCUAAAAUGUCAAGAUUAACUAGACAAAACAAUAUUGUGAGCCUCCAGGAAAGCAGACCUUUUACAUCCUAUGAAGUUUGUAGCCUGUGAAAAAAUACACACAAAAUGCAACUAAUCCAAAUUUUAGAUAAAAAACUCAUAUAUGAAUAUAUUUGUGUUAUUAAUUUUUCCCAGAAAAAAAGAUUUAUUUACAUAAUAUUUUCCUACAUAUUCCCCCUGCUGUUAUUGAAAGUAUUUGGAUUUAAUAAAUGGUUUCUCAGCACCACAUCCCAAAUCAUCUUUCUGCUUGAUCAUGCAAUAAAGGCAAAGUUUAUACUUAUGAGACAUUGUUAAUACUAUGAAAAUUACUACACUUUUAUUCCUCAAAUUUCAACCUUGUAUGAGUAACCACA